GGCCGCGAUGGUUUAAUGGUAGCACGCGUCCCCGGUAUGGACGAAAAGCGGGUUCAACUCCCGUCUGAGGUCG
Non-coding RNA from Parelaphostrongylus tenuis, 73 nucleotides. Lineage: Eukaryota; Metazoa; Nematoda; Chromadorea; Rhabditida; Metastrongylidae. The record is from the annotation of a GenBank genome assembly.